Long non-coding RNA from Populus nigra (black poplar), 3676 nucleotides. RefSeq lists it as uncharacterized. The transcript has 4 exons. NCBI's taxonomy places the organism in Eukaryota, Viridiplantae, Streptophyta, Magnoliopsida, Malpighiales, Salicaceae. The record is from RefSeq and is a predicted model, not a curated record.
ACAGACCAAGAGGACAGCUUCAAUGAAGCCAUCCCAGCCGAUGCAGGUGAUUACCCGUGGGCUGACAUCUCCUCGCGCACCUAGCACCAGCCAAACCGCCUCAAUCUGAACAUGCACCAGACAAAGUCGAUGAAAAGACGCCAGGGAGCCUCAGCAGCCGAGAAGAAAGCGCGGCAACACCCACCGCGCGAGAAGAAACGCGAAAACAGAGACGGACCGCGGUACAGACUGUGAAUCCACAGGAUUCACACACAGUGCACCGUGUUUUAAUGAGCACUCUUAGUUUAUUUAUUUAUAUAUAUAUAUAUAUAUAUAUAUAAUUCCUUUAGUUUUAGUUUGUCGGUUAUGAACAGUGAUGCAGCACCAGAAUACAGUUCUUUUAGUUUGUUAGCGAAUCUGGAAAAGAAUAAAGUCAUCUGUCAAGCUCUGUUCACUUUGGUCCGACAUGCCUCACCUCUCCCCACCUGAGCUCUCUCUCUUUCCCUCCUCCGCUCUAGGGAACCGCCACCUCCGCCGCCACCUCAACCAAUAAGGCUUCAAAUCUCCACCAGAGAGAGAAAUUCGAUUUUAAUAACUAAAUUAAAAAGAUAUAUAAUCGGAUCCGAUGAAAUCGCUGCUCGUGAACGCAACUUGAAGAAAGGCGCAAUCAGCCGAUUCUACUAUGGGUGGAGCAUUUAGUAUGGUCAGGGUUAUUGUGUUGUCUAUUCAAAGAAAGAUGUGCCUGUAAAUUUGUUAAGUUGAUUCUUAUCAGUCUGCUCUUUAGGGUUGAUGAUAGCAUGAAAUAUUCAUUGUUAAUGCUCGUCGUUUUCUUCUUCUUUUUCCUAGACUAAAACAUCCUAGACAUCUUCUAUUUUUGCUGUGGUAUUUUCCUCUUUCUAUUUACACUAUUUGCUCCCUACAAUAUUUAUUCUUUCAGAGAAGUAAAUGUAUACAUAUAUAACAAGAAUAGGAGGGGAGGGGGAGGGGGGUUUGACAGUAAGUAUUUGCUUAGAAGGGAAUGCUUCUUUGGUUUUAGAAGCACCAUGAAGAUUCAGGCCCAAAUCUUUGCUUAGAAUGCCGAAUACCCAGGAUCCUAGCACCAUAUUUGGCUGUGUAUAUUUGUUAUGCAUCCAUAUUUGGCUGAAGCAAACUUGAGGGAACAUAAAGUGCUGGGAAGUAAUUUUUGUUGGAAUUUAUUGUGUCAUCUCUUCUUUUGAUGAUGACCUCUUGGAUGGCUGCAUGAAGCUUGUUCCGCUUUUAAUUUCAAGGUUAAUCUAUUGCUAUGAGCAUACGUGUUUCAUUUUAAAACUCGAGUUGCAACUGAACUUAAAUGAAUGGUGUUGGAUUUGGGCCUUCUAUUUGUUUUAACUUCUACAGGGUUGAAAUGAUAGUGAUCUUAAAGUUGAAAAGCAGCAGACAAAAAUCAAUUUGCCACAAUGGUGCAUGGUUUCCUAGAUUCUUAGCAUAGAGUUGAAUGUUUUGUUGACCUCUCUACAUCCAAAAUCAUAUAGACAGCUACUGCUGGCACUUGCAUUGGUCAAUGAAUACUGUAGAGUAUAUAUUGCAGUGUGAGAUAAGGUUAACUCGUUGCAUUUUCAUAUAUUGAAAGGAUUUCUCUUCUUUUCUUUGUCAAUUACAGCACAUGCAUAGAAGUUACUCAGAGUAAAUGCUAUUAUAAUGUUUUCACAGAGACUCCCCUGCUUUGCAACUAAGUCACUAAUAUAUGAAGCUCAUAGCUAGUAUCAUUAUCUGCGUAAAAUGCGUAAAAUAUCUCUGGAGAUGCUUUCAAUGGAGAUCAGGUCUCAAAACGCUAUGCCCACUGCCCCCAUGGAUCCAGUAGGUUAUAAUGCAGCCGAGCAUUGAAUUUCUAAACAUCUAACCUUUUGUUUUUCUUCUUGCAUUGUUAUCAAACUCUUUUACAUUUUAUUGCUGCAUAUUGCUAUGUAUAUCACCUUGCUGGAAAAAUCUCAUGAUCACCUCCACGAUGCAUGGCUAUUUUAUAUUUUAUGAUUGAGAUGGUAGAUUUUAAAGAUUUUCCUGUUUAGGAGGACAGGUAAGACGUCACUUUCUUGCUUUUCUUUCGAGAGAAAGUAUUUGAUCCUUCUUUCAUAUAUAAUAAUAAUGCCGAGCAUUGAAUUUCUAAACAUCUUACCUUUUGUUUUGUUUGUCGCAUUGUUAUCAAACUCUUUUGCAUUUUAUUGCAGUAUAUUGCUAUGUGUAUGGCAUGCUUUGAUCAAAAAGUUGAGUAAUUGAUGAAUGUUAGGCAAGAAUAUUACAUAUUGUUUUUGUUUUUUGCCUCCUUUUCUUUCCCCCACCAUGAAAAUUGUCAUAUUAUUUUUGUUUUCAGCCGCUUCUUCUUCCCCCAUCCCCGAAAAUUGUCAGAGGACACUUUUAUGCUUUGAAUCAAAUCCAUCCCAAUUCUUUCGCUCGUAACUUUAUGUGUGAACUGCCGAUGUUUCAUUUGUCUUCCUUGUUGAGUGCCUUCUUUUUUUCUGUGACAUGGUUUUCCCUUUUGCCUUUUAUCUUGAACAGCAUCCCAUAGUAUGCCCCCUGAAGUUUAGAAUCAAGGGCUGUUUCUCCCUAUCCUAUUGUCCACUGAUCAGUCUCAAGCACGUCAGCAGUUGGUAUCACAGAACAUGCAGAAUUGCAUGGCAUCUAAUGGAGUUCAAAGUUAUGCUGGUUAACAAGCAGCACUGCCUCCUGUCUCUAGUGUAACCCAGACUAUCCCCAACACUGUUGUCCAGAAUCCUAACAUGCAGAGUAUCCCUGGUGUUUCACAGAACUCAGUGGGGAAUUCAAUGGGACAAGGGAUUCCUUCCACUAUGUUUGCCAAUUCUCAGAGACAAAUGCCAGCAUCCCUAGAUUCUACAGCACAGACUGGACAUGCAAAAGGCGCUGAUUGGCAAGAGGAGAUCUAUCAGAAAGAAACCAAUAUUUUGCUGAGCAAUUCUAUAAUGAAAAGUUGGUGACUGAUGUUUUAAAAACUGGAGUUAAGGAAUGGCUUAGAGUGCAUGGAGAUCAUGUUAAAAGUGAAGCUGUAGAGAAGGCAAUCACUCAAAUUAUGAUGGGUGAAGAAGCAGAGGAAAUGAGGAGUAGAGCAAAGCUAGGAGAAACAGCCAGGAAGGCUGUUGAAGAAGGUUGAUCUUCUUGCUCCGAUUUCAAUGCUUUGAUUGAAUAACUGAGGUAACUGUUGAAGAUGGUCGCCCUUGAAACAAAGGUAGAUGUAAGCGUUAUCACACAUGCAUAGAAUAUUUUGUUUCUAGUUAGUAGUGGUUUUGGCAAUUUAUUUUCAGUUGAGAGUUGAAAGAGUAAUCACAACCGAUUCAAUGACCAAUCCAAAUCAGUUCCCUUCCUAAUGGUUCUGGAAUGACAAGUCGUGGCUGUUACAUAUUUAGCCCAAAUAACUAAUCAAAUAGAAAGGCUGAGCUUAGAGACAGUACACUACAAAUGAAGCACCCAAUAGCUAGACAUACAAUCAUAGCAAAUUCAUGUUCUGAAGUUGGAGAACUUGCAAAAACUAGCCACCACAAAAUAGUAGUAAGUAUCUAUGCAGUCUUCGAUGAAGAACAACCACCUGCGUCGCCAAAAUGGAUUGAUGUAGAGAACUGCUGCAAUUGUCAUCACCACAACUGUGUAACAUACACCGAAACUGAUGUAGAAAAACUCCAUGUCUAUGAAACCAUCAUCUCCUUGUUCA